UGAAUACGAGACGCUAAGGCGUUGAAGUAGUGUAUGUCAUACUUCCAAGAAAAGCUUGCACUGUCAUAGAUAAAAAACGCCUGUACCAUAACCGACACAGGUGGGUAGGUAGAGUAUACUAAGGGGCGCGAGAUAACUCUCUCUAAGGAACUCGGCAAAAUAACUCCGUAACUUCGGGAGAAGGAGUGCCUUAUUUAUAAGGCUGCAAUAACAAGAUCCAAGCAACUGUUUAUCAAAAACACAGGUCUCCGCUAAGUCGUAAGACGAUGUAUGGGGGCUGACGCCUGCCCAGUGCCAGAAGGUUACAGAAGUUGGUUAGCAAUAGCGAAGCUGAUAACUGAAGCCCUGGUGAACGGCGGCCGUAACAAUAACGGUCCUAAGGUAGCGAAAUUCCUUGUCGGGUAAGUUCCGACCCGCACGAAAGGCGUAAUGAUUUGGAUACUGUCUCGGAGAGGGGCUCGGUGAAAUAGACUUGUCUGUGAAGAUGCGGACUACCUGCACCAGGACAGAAAGACCCUAUGAAGCUUUACUGUAACUUGAAAUUGAAAUUGGACUUUAUUCGCGCAGUAUAGGUGGGAGGCGUUGAUUGUAAUCUUGCGGGAUUAUUGGAGCCAUCAGUGAGAUACCACCCUUGUAAUGUUAGAUUUCUAACUUUGAAUCAUUAUCUGGUCAAAGAACAGUUUCAGGCGGGCAGUUUGACUGGGGCGGUCGCCUCCUAAACGGUAACGGAGGCGUACAAAGGUUUCCUCUGAACGGUUAGAAAUCGUAUCUAGAGUGUAAAGGCAAAGCUUGACUGUGAGACCUACAAGUCGAGCAGGGACGAAAGUCGGUCUUAGUGAUCUGACGGUACUGAGUGGAAAGGCCGUCACUCAACGGAUAAAAGUUACUCUAGGAUAACAGGCUGAUCUCCCCCAAGAGUUCACAUCGACGGGGAGGUUUGGCACCUCGAUGUCGGCUCAUCGCAUCCUGGGGCGGUAGUACGUCCCAAGGGUUGGGCUGUUCGCCCAUGAAAGCGGUACGCGAGCUGGGUUCAGAACGUCGUGGGACAGUUCGGUCCAUAUCCGGUGUAGGCGUUAGAAUAUUGAGAGGAGCCUUCUUUAGUACGAGAGGACCGAGAAGGACAUACCUCUGGUGUACCAGUUAUCGUGCCAACGGUAAACGCUGGGUAGCUAUGUAUGGAGUGGAUAACCGCUGAAAGCAUCUAAGUGGGAAGCCCACCUCAAGAUAAG
This 1229-nucleotide ribosomal RNA is filed under the name metagenome. Its description in RNAcentral is "bacterial LSU rRNA". It matches the Rfam family "Bacterial large subunit ribosomal RNA", at positions 1564 to 2808 of the family's 2925-position model. The record is from RNAcentral.